This 253-nucleotide ribosomal RNA is filed under the name uncultured bacterium. RNAcentral's name for it is "partial 16S ribosomal RNA". It matches the Rfam family "Bacterial small subunit ribosomal RNA", at positions 524 to 776 of the family's 1533-position model. The record is from RNAcentral.
UACGUAGGGAGCAAGCGUUAUCCGGAUUUACUGGGUGUAAAGGGCGCGUAGGCGGGCCUGCAAGUCAGAAGUGAAAUCUGGGGGCUUAACCCCCAAACUGCUUUUGAAACUGUGGAUCUUGAGUGAUGGAGAGGCAGGCGGAAUUCCCAGUGUAGCGGUGAAAUGCGUAGAUAUUGGGAGGAACACCAGUGGCGAAGGCGGCCAACUGGGCUUUAACUGACGUUGAGGCCCGAAAGCGUGGGGAGCAAACAGG